This 378-nucleotide unclassified non-coding RNA is filed under the name Hevea brasiliensis (rubber tree). Lineage: Eukaryota; Viridiplantae; Streptophyta; Magnoliopsida; Malpighiales; Euphorbiaceae. The record is from RNAcentral.
GGCUUUACUCCAUCGGAAGAUGAAUUAUCGUUAUCUCAAAAUGAGAAGGAUGCUUUAGGAAAAGCAAGGAAGCAGGGUCAACAAGCCCUUGCUCUCACGAUCAAGGUUUGGAUGAAUCUAUGUUCUUGAAGGUGGUCGAUGCUACUAAUACAAAGCAAGCUUGAGAGAUUUUGAAAAAUUCCCUCCAUGGAGUUGACAAAGUGAAGAAGGUGCAACUCCAAACAUUAAGAGGUGAAUUUGAAGCUUUGCGAAUAAAGGAUGUUGAAUCCAUUUCAGAUUUUUGUACGAGGGUGAAGUCUAUAGUGAGCCAAUUGAAGAGAUUUGGUGAGAGGGUAGAAGAUGUUCAUGUGGUAGAGAAAAUUCUUUGAUCUUUGACAC